Molecule: ribosomal RNA, 424 nt
Filed under: uncultured cyanobacterium
Lineage: Bacteria; Bacillati; Cyanobacteriota
Description: bacterial SSU rRNA
Rfam family: Bacterial small subunit ribosomal RNA
Source: RNAcentral
GGGGAAUUUUCCGCAAUGGGCGAAAGCCUGACGGAGCAAUACCGCGUGAGGGAUGACGGCCUGUGGGUUGUAAACCUCUUUUCUCAAGGAAGAAGUUCUGACGGUACUUGAGGAAUAAGCAUCGGCUAACUCUGUGCCAGCAGCCGCGGUAAUACAGAGGAUGCAAGCGUUAUCCGGAAUCACUGGGCAUAAAGCGUCUGUAGGUGGUUUGGUAAGUCUGCUGUUAAAGACUGGGGCUCAACCCCAGAAAAGCAGUGGAAACUGCCAGACUUGAGUGUGGUAGAGGUAGAGGGAAUUCCUAGUGUAGCGGUGAAAUGCGUAGAUAUUAGGAAGAACACCAAUGGCGAAGGCACUCUACUGGGCCAUAACUGACACUGAGAGACGACAGCUAGGGGAGCAAAAGGGAUUAGAUACCCCAGUAGUC